This 492-nucleotide ribosomal RNA is filed under the name uncultured bacterium. RNAcentral's name for it is "partial 16S ribosomal RNA". It matches the Rfam family "Bacterial small subunit ribosomal RNA", at positions 29 to 507 of the family's 1533-position model. The record is from RNAcentral.
AGUUAACGCUGGCGGUAGGCCUAACACAUGCAAGUCGAACGGCAGCACAGUAAGAGCUUGCUCUUACGGGUGGCGAGUGGCGGACGGGUGAGGAAUACAUCGGAAUCUACUUUUUCGUGGGGGAUAACGUAGGGAAACUUACGCUAAUACCGCAUACGACCUACGGGUGAAAGCAGGGGAUCUUCGGACCUUGCGCGAUUGAAUGAGCCGAUGUCGGAUUAGCUAGUUGGCGGGGUAAAGGCCCACCAAGGCGACGAUCCGUAGCUGGUCUGAGAGGAUGAUCAGCCACACUGGAACUGAGACACGGUCCAGACUCCUACGGGAGGCAGCAGUGGGGAAUAUUGGAUAAUGGGCGCAAGCCUGAUCCAGCCAUACCGCGUGGGUGAAGAAGGCCUUCGGGUUGUAAAGCCCUUUUGUUGGGAAAGAAAAGCAGCAGGUUAAUACCCCGCUGUUCUGACGGUACCCAAAGAAUAAGCACCGGCUAACUUCGUG